UCGAUCUUGAAGGGGUGAAAGUGGGGGGAUCCGCCAAGCCUCCAUGCUAUAGGAGGCGAUCGAGUCUGAUUAGCUAGUUGGUGGGGUAAUGUCCACCAAGCGACGAUCAGUAGCUGUCUGAGAGACGAUCAGCACCACUGGGACUGAGACACGGCCAGACUCUACGGGAGGCAGCAGUGGGGAAUUUUGGACAAUGGGCGAAAGCCUGAUCCAGCAAUGCCGCGUGUGUGAAGAAGGCCUUCGGGUUGUAAAGCACUUUUGUCCGGAAAGAAAUGGCUCUGGUUAAUACCUGGGGUCGAUGACGGUACCGGAAGAAUAAGGACCGGCUAACUACGUGCCAGCAGCCGCGGUAAUACGUAGGGUCCAAGCGUUAAUCGGAAUUACUGGGCGUAAAGCGUGCGCAGGCGGUUGUGCAAGACCGAUGUGAAAUCCCCGAGCUUAACUUGGGAAUUGCAUUGGUGACUGCACGGCUAGAGUGUGUCAGAGGGGGGUAGAAUUCCACGUGUAGCAGUGAGAUGCGUAGAGAUGUGGAGGAAUACCAAUGGCGAAGGCAGCCCCCUGGGAUAACACUGACGCUCAUGCACGAAAGCGUGGGGAGCAAACAGGAUUAGAUACCCUGGUAGUCCGCGCCCUAAACGAUGUCAACUAGUUGUUGGGGAUUCAUUUCCUUAGUAACGUAGCUAACGCGUGAAGUUGACCGCCUGGGGAGUACGGUCGCAAGAUUAAAACUCAAAGGAAUUGACGGGGACCCGCACAAGCGGUGGAUGAUGUGGAUUAAUUCGAUGCAACGCGAAAAACCUUACCUACCCUUGACAUGCCACUAACGAAGCAGAGAUGCAUUAGGUGCUCGAAAGAGAAAGUGGACACAGGUGCUGCAUGGCUGUCGUCAGCUCGUGUCGUGAGAUGUUGGGUUAAGUCCCGCAACGAGCGCAACCCUUGUCUCUAGUUGCUACGAAAGGGCACUCUAGAGAGACUGCCGGUGACAAACCGGAGGAAGGUGGGGAUGACGUCAAGUCCUCAUGGCCCUUAUGGGUAGGGCUUCACACGUCAUACAAUGGUGCAUACAGAGGGUUGCCAAGCCGCGAGGUGGAGCUAAUCCCAGAAAAUGCAUCGUAGUCCGGAUCGUAGUCUGCAACUCGACUACGUGAAGCUGGAAUCGCUAGUAAUCGCGGAUCAGCAUGCCGCCGCUACCCCAUA
RNAcentral lists this ribosomal RNA (1197 nucleotides) under uncultured bacterium. Its description in RNAcentral is "bacterial SSU rRNA". It matches the Rfam family "Bacterial small subunit ribosomal RNA", at positions 184 to 1372 of the family's 1533-position model. The record is from RNAcentral.